AUGUACAAUUCUUGAAAUGGCAACUUCAAAGCCACCUUGGAGCCAGUAUGAAGGGGUUGCCGCCAUAUUUAAAAUUGGAAACAGCAAAGACUUUCCUGAAAUUCCAGAACACCUUUCUAAUGAUGCAAAAAGCUUUAUAAGGUCAUGCUUGCAGCGGGAGCCGUCCCUACGACCUACAGCUUCUAAACUACUAGAGCACCCUUUUGUUAAAAACCAAAGUACAGCAAAAGUUGCUCAUGUCGGUGUAACCAAAGAAUCAUAUCUUCGUUCCUUUGAUGGAAGCCGGACACCGCCAGUGUUGGAGCUCCAUCCUGGUGGAAGAACUAUUUCUCCGGGAAGGAAUAUUUCCCCCGCUGAAGGAAACUAUGCAUCCCAUCCGGUGAUCACAGUCUCUAGACCAUUGAUCUGCGCAAGGGAAAAUGUAAAAGCCAUAACAUCUUUACCGGUAUCCCCCACAUCUAGCCCAUUAAGACAGUAUGAACCUGCCCGUAAAAGCUGUUAUCUUUCUCCUCCUCACUCAUCUUAUGGCAUCGGGGGCCAGAGUGGAUACGAGGCAAAUGAUUACUCAAUGUUUCAAACAAGGCCCAGCACAAGAAUCACACUUGAGCCAUGGCUCGAAAUCCCUCACUUUAGAACUCAGACGCCAUCUAGAUCCCCCAAAACAAGACCCAUUCUUUAGUAACAUGUGAUGUAUGAGGUGAAAGUUUUCUUUACUUGCAUUGCACCACGCGUGGUCGGUCCCCUUCUAGGAAAUGAAUUGCAGAAACUAUGUCUCCUUCUAAGCUAUUCGUUUCUGUUUGAUGUGUUCAUUAUCAUCAAGAGAAAUUUUGGGUGACCUGGGGUUUUUGGUUGCAUGAUGAAGGGAAUUGCAUUUUCUUGAAUAUAAGAUCUGUAAAAUGUACUUCAUUCUCAAUGUAAAUGCAAGAUUGAUCACUUGAUUAAAUUGUUUCAUAGCGCUCUUAUAGU
RNAcentral lists this unclassified non-coding RNA (966 nucleotides) under Hevea brasiliensis (rubber tree). Lineage: Eukaryota; Viridiplantae; Streptophyta; Magnoliopsida; Malpighiales; Euphorbiaceae. The record is from RNAcentral.